This 609-nucleotide ribosomal RNA is filed under the name uncultured crenarchaeote. Its description in RNAcentral is "bacterial SSU rRNA". It matches the Rfam family "Archaeal small subunit ribosomal RNA", at positions 80 to 675 of the family's 1478-position model. Lineage: Archaea; Thermoproteati; Thermoproteota. The record is from RNAcentral.
CGAUUACGGCUCAGUAACACGUAGCUAACCUACCCUUAGGACGUGGAUACCCCCGAGAAAUUGGGGUUAAUCCGCGAUAGAUGUAAUGUCCUGGAAUGGUAUUACGUCUAAAGGUAUUUCAUACAUGUUUGAAAUAUGCCUAAGGAUGGGGCUGCGGCCGAUCAGGCUGUUGGUGAGGUAAUGGCUCACCAAACCUUUGACCGGUACGGGCCAUGAGAGUGGUAGCCCGGAGAUGGACACUGAGACAAGGGUCCAGGCCCUAAGGGGCGCAGCAACCGCGAAACCUCCACAAUGCACUCACGUGCGAUGGGGCUAUCUCGAGUGCCACCUGAUGAAGGUGGCUUUUCCUUGGUCUUCAAAGCCUUGGGAAUAAGAGGGGGGCAAGACUGGUGUCAGCCGCCGCGGUAACACCAGCCCCUCGAGUGGUGGGGAUGAUUAUUUGGCCUAAAGCGUCCGUAGCCGGCCGAGCAAGUCUUCCGUUAAAUCCAGCGUCUCAAGCGUUGGACCGCGGGAGAUACUACACGGCUACAGAGUGGGAGAGGUUAGCGGUAUUCUGGGGGUAAGGGCGAAAUCCUUUGAUCCCCGGAGGACCACCAGUGGCGAAGGCUG